RNAcentral lists this ribosomal RNA (105 nucleotides) under uncultured bacterium. RNAcentral describes it as "partial 16S ribosomal RNA". The record is from RNAcentral.
UACGUUCCCGGGUCUUGUACACACCGCCCGUCAAACCAUGAAAGUCGCCAAUACCUGACGUGUUGCCAUCGCGCAGCCCUAAGGUAAGGGAGAUGAGUUGGGGUU